AGAGUUUGAUCCUGGCUCAGGACGAACGCUGGCGGCGUGCCUAAUACAUGCAAGUCGUACGCUUCUUUUUCCACCGGAGCUUGCUCCACCGGAAAAAGAAGAGUGGCGAACGGGUGAGUAACACGUGGGUAACCUGCCCAUCAGAAGGGGAUAACACUUGGAAACAGGUGCUAAUACCGUAUAAAAAUCGAAACCGCAUGGUUUUGAUUUGAAAGGCGCUUUCGGGUGUCGCUGAUGGAUGGACCCGCGGUGCAUUAGCUAGUUGGUGAGGUAACGGCUCACCAAGGCCACGAUGCAUAGCCGACCUGAGAGGGUGAUCGGCCACAUUGGGACUGAGACACGGCCCAAACUCCUACGGGAGGCAGCAGUAGGGAAUCUUCGGCAAUGGACGAAAGUCUGACCGAGCAACGCCGCGUGAGUGAAGAAGGUUUUCGGAUCGUAAAACUCUGUUGUUAGAGAAGAACAAGGAUGAGAGUAACUGUUCAUCCCUUGACGGUAUCUAACCAGAAAGCCACGGCUAACUACGUGCCAGCAGCCGCGGUAAUACGUAGGUGGCAAGCGUUGUCCGGAUUUAUUGGGCGUAAAGCGAGCGCAGGCGGUUUCUUAAGUCUGAUGUGAAAGCCCCCGGCUCAACCGGGGAGGGUCAUUGGAAACUGGGAGACUUGAGUGCAGAAGAGGAGAGUGGAAUUCCAUGUGUAGCGGUGAAAUGCGUAGAUAUAUGGAGGAACACCAGUGGCGAAGGCGGCUCUCUGGUCUGUAACUGACGCUGAGGCUCGAAAGCGUGGGGAGCAAACAGGAUUAGAUACCCUGGUAGUCCACGCCGUAAACGAUGAGUGCUAAGUGUUGGAGGGUUUCCGCCCUUCAGUGCUGCAGCUAACGCAUUAAGCACUCCGCCUGGGGAGUACGACCGCAAGGUUGAAACUCAAAGGAAUUGACGGGGGCCCGCACAAGCGGUGGAGCAUGUGGUUUAAUUCGAAGCAACGCGAAGAACCUUACCAGGUCUUGACAUCCUUUGACCACUCUAGAGAUAGAGCUUCCCCUUCGGGGGCAAAGUGACAGGUGGUGCAUGGUUGUCGUCAGCUCGUGUCGUGAGAUGUUGGGUUAAGUCCCGCAACGAGCGCAACCCUUAUUGUUAGUUGCCAUCAUUUAGUUGGGCACUCUAGCAAGACUGCCGGUGACAAACCGGAGGAAGGUGGGGAUGACGUCAAAUCAUCAUGCCCCUUAUGACCUGGGCUACACACGUGCUACAAUGGGAAGUACAACGAGUCGCGAAGUCGCGAGGCUAAGCUAAUCUCUUAAAGCUUCUCUCAGUUCGGAUUGUAGGCUGCAACUCGCCUACAUGAAGCCGGAAUCGCUAGUAAUCGCGGAUCAGCACGCCGCGGUGAAUACGUUCCCGGGCCUUGUACACACCGCCCGUCACACCACGAGAGUUUGUAACACCCGAAGUCGGUGAGGUAACCUUUUGGAGCCAGCCGCCUAAGGUGGGAUAGAUGAUUGGGGUGAAGUCGUAACAAGGUAGCCGUAUCGGAAGGUGCGGCUGGAUCACCU
RNAcentral lists this ribosomal RNA (1548 nucleotides) under Enterococcus durans. RNAcentral describes it as "bacterial SSU rRNA". It matches the Rfam family "Bacterial small subunit ribosomal RNA". Lineage: Bacteria; Bacillati; Bacillota; Bacilli; Lactobacillales; Enterococcaceae. The record is from RNAcentral.